RNAcentral lists this ribosomal RNA (253 nucleotides) under uncultured bacterium. RNAcentral's name for it is "partial 16S ribosomal RNA". It matches the Rfam family "Bacterial small subunit ribosomal RNA", at positions 524 to 776 of the family's 1533-position model. The record is from RNAcentral.
UACGUAGGGUGCAAGCGUUAAUCGGAAUUACUGGGCGUAAAGCGUGCGCAGGCGGUUGUGCAAGGCAGGUGUGAAAUCCCCGGGCUUAACCUGGGAACUGCACUUGUGACUGCACAGCUGGAGUACGGCAGAGGGGGAUGGAAUUCCGCGUGUAGCAGUGAAAUGCGUAGAUAUGCGGAGGAACACCAGUGGCGAAGGCGGUGUUCUGGGUCAGUACUGACGCUGAGGCGCGAAAGCGUGGGGAGCGAACAGG